This is a long non-coding RNA of Mauremys reevesii (Reeves's turtle), 322 nucleotides long. RefSeq lists it as uncharacterized. NCBI's taxonomy places the organism in Eukaryota, Metazoa, Chordata, Testudines, Geoemydidae. The record is from RefSeq and is a predicted model, not a curated record. The transcript is spliced from 3 exons.
ACUCCUUAUACUGGGGGUGGCUCUGAAGCAAGAAGCAGAGAAAGGCAGUUAUUAAGGGCUGGGCAGCUGCCAAGUUUGCUGAAAGGGAGAAUGUGCCAAACUGGAGUUCUUGUAACAGUUGCCAUCUGCAGCAAUGAAGAAACAGGCACAUGUGGCACCAGUUCCUGGUGGAGGAGAAAGAGCAGGAGAGAGAUCAGCAUCAUCUUAUUAAUUGCAAACCGCAUUGGACUCAGUGGCCAUCACUUGGUGAAGUGAGAAGCAUCAGUCUGAGCGGUGAAUUGGCCCAUAAGAUUCAAUAUGGCCUGAUUUAAUAGUCAAGAAC